GUGUUGUAUGAAGGGAGAGAAGGUCAGCACUCCCCUCGACAAGGAGCACAGACAGAUUAAGCCAUUGUCACCUACUUAGUGGCACCUAACCAUCAUUUGUU
Small nuclear RNA from Homo sapiens (human), 101 nucleotides. The record is from Ensembl. NCBI's taxonomy places the organism in Eukaryota, Metazoa, Chordata, Mammalia, Primates, Hominidae.